This 751-nucleotide long non-coding RNA is filed under the name Pongo abelii (Sumatran orangutan). RNAcentral's name for it is "lincRNA". Lineage: Eukaryota; Metazoa; Chordata; Mammalia; Primates; Hominidae. The record is from RNAcentral.
CAGGCAUUUAUAUAGGUGAUACUGUAUUUCAGUCCUCUCUUUUAACCCCAGAAGCCCUAGACUGAGAAGAUAAAAUGGUCAGGUUGUUGGGGAAAAAAAAGUGCCAGGCUCUCUAGAGAAAAAUGUGAAGAGAUGCUCCAGGCCAAUGAGAAGAAUUAGACAAGAAAUACACAGAUGUACCAGACUUCCGAGAAGCACCUGCCAGCAACAGCUUCCUUCUUUGAGCUUAGUCCAUCCCUCAUGAAAAAAGACUGACCACUGCUGGGCAGCAGGAGGGAUGAUGACCAACUAAUUCCCAAACCCUAGUCUCAUUGGUACCAGCCUUGGGGAACCACCCACACUUGAGCCACAAUUGGUUUUGAAGUGCAUUUACAAGUUUCUGGCAUCACUACCACCACUGAUUAAACAAGAAUAAGAGAACAUUUUAUCAUCAUCUGCUUUAUUCACAUAAAUGAAGUUGUGAUGAAUAAAUCUGCUUUUAUGCAGACACAAGGAAUUAAGUGGCUUCAUCAUUGCCCUUCUACCUCAAAGAGAAUUUAUUCCAAAAUGCUAAGAUAAAUGGAAGACUCUUGAACUUGUGAACUGAUGUGAAAUGCAGAAUCUCUUUUGAGUCUUUGCUGUUUUGAAGAUUGAAAAAUAUUGUUCAGCAUGGGUGACCACCAAAAAGUAAUCUUAAGCCAUCUAGAUGUCACAAUUGAAACAAACUGGGGAGUUGGUUGCUAUUGUAAAAUAAAAUAUACUGUUUUGAAAA